This is a long non-coding RNA of Sander lucioperca (pikeperch), 453 nucleotides long. RefSeq lists it as uncharacterized. The transcript is spliced from 4 exons. Lineage: Eukaryota; Metazoa; Chordata; Actinopteri; Perciformes; Percidae. The record is from RefSeq and is a predicted model, not a curated record.
GAGAGGACAGGGUCUCUGCCUCUGAGGUUUCUCUAUCUGAUCAACAUGACAGCCAGCCCAGAGAUAAGAGUCCAGUUAACCAGGCGAGACCAGACUCAUCUGUACCCAGCUGUGAGUGUGACGGGUCUAUGAAUGAGUCACUUCAGAUUGAGGACGGAGGACAUUCUGAUAAUGAAAUGCAAAGGAAGAAGAGAUGCAGCUUUGUGUCCAAGAAUUUAAAGUCUAUGGAGGACCCCUUAUGUUUCAAGGAUGGAGCCCACACCGAUAAGCAAAUGUAGGAAAUUAAAAAAUAAUUCUGUAACUGUGAUACAGCCUAUCUGUUAAUUAAUAUGAUACAUUUUUAACAAUCAAUCAAUCAAUUAGUUAAUUUGUCAUGUGAUAUCAUAUGUAAUCUUUGGUUUCCAAGACUGUACUCCUAUGUUUGUUAAUUGUUUUGAAAGUAUCCUGUUCAUA